GACGAACGCUGGCGGCGUGCUUAACACAUGCAAGUCGAACGAUGAAGAAAAGAAUCGAAGCUUCGGCAGACAUUCAUUUCGGAUUAGUGGCAGACGGGUGAGUAACGCGUGAGCAACCUACCUCUUACAAAGGGAUAGCCUCGGGAAACCGGGAUUAAUACCAUAUAACAUUGCGACGAAGCAUUUCGAUGCAAUCAAAGCUACGGCGGUAAGAGAUGGGCUCGCGUCCCAUUAACCGGAUGGUGAGGUAACGGCUCACCAUAGUGACGAUGGGUAACCGGCCUGAGAGGGUGAACGGUCACACUGGAACUGAGACACGGUCCAGACUCCUACGGGAGGCAGGAGUGGGGAAUAUUGCACAAUGGAGGGAACUCUGAUGCAGCGACGCCGCGUGAGUGAUGAAGGAAUUCGUUUCGUAAAACUCUGUUCUAUGGGAAGAAAAGGACUGUACCAUAGGAGAAAGCUCCGGCUAAAUACGUG
Molecule: ribosomal RNA, 480 nt
Filed under: uncultured bacterium
Lineage: Bacteria
Description: partial 16S ribosomal RNA
Rfam family: Bacterial small subunit ribosomal RNA
Source: RNAcentral